ACAAACUUGAAGGUGGUCGCAAAAUUUCCAGUUGCUCAAGGAUUCGAAAACCUGAAAAAAAUCUUUCCAUCCAUUCUAGUUGUUCUCAAUCUCCAUCGAUCAAGAAUGUGUGAUCCGUGCAACGUACCCUGCGAUUCCAUCUGUGGACCAUCGAUUUGUCCACCAUGCGGACCCUGUGAUCCUUGCGGACCCUCUUGUGUACCCUGUGGUCCCUGCGGACCCUGCGGCCCGUGUGGACCGUGCGGUCCCUGUGGACCUUGUGGACCAUGUGAUCCUUGCGGCCCUUGUGGACCUUGCGGACCCUCCUGUGGACCUUGUGGUCCUUGUGGACCCUGCGGACCAUGCGGUCCGUGUGCGCCUUGCGGCCCUUGUGGACCAUGUGGUCCUUGUGGACCCUCCUGCGCACCGUGUGGACCUUGUGGCCCUUGCGGACCGUGCCGCCCGAUGAGUCUUUGCGAAUGCAUUGCCCGUCAGUACAGCCCCUACGGAUCCUUCUAGAACUGUACCCAGUGUGCUUCCUACAGAUCCUUCAAGAAGUGUUCUUCCGGCAAGCUUCAUCUUGUGCAAGAGAAACGAUUACACGGAAUAAAAUCUCAUAAAUUGCCACAUUUA
Molecule: long non-coding RNA, 612 nt
Filed under: Aedes aegypti (yellow fever mosquito)
Lineage: Eukaryota; Metazoa; Arthropoda; Insecta; Diptera; Culicidae
Description: uncharacterized LOC125446282 (LOC125446282)
Source: RNAcentral